This 404-nucleotide ribosomal RNA is filed under the name uncultured Alphaproteobacteria bacterium. RNAcentral describes it as "bacterial SSU rRNA". It matches the Rfam family "Bacterial small subunit ribosomal RNA", at positions 24 to 455 of the family's 1533-position model. The record is from RNAcentral. Lineage: Bacteria; Pseudomonadati; Pseudomonadota; Alphaproteobacteria.
UCAGAACGUACGCUGGCGGCACGCCUAACACAUGCAAGUCGAACGAAGUAGCAAUACUUAGUGGCAGACGGGUGAGUAACAUGUAGGUAUCUACCCUUUGGCCUGGAAUAACACGAGGAAACUUGUGCUAAUACCGGAUAAGUCUUUACGGAGAAAGCUUUAUGCACCAUUGGAUGAGCCUGCACUUGAUUAGUUUGUUGGUGGGGUAAUGGCCUACCAAGACUGUGAUCAAUAGCUGAUUUGAGAGGAUGAUCAGCCACAUUGGGACUGAGACACGGCCCAAACUCCUACGGGAGGCAGCAGUGGGGAAUCUUGCACAAUGGAGGAAACUCUGAUGCAGCGAUGCCGCGUGAGUGAAGAAGGCCCUUGGGUUGUAAAGCUCUUUCGUCGGGGAAGAAAAUGAC